Molecule: non-coding RNA, 2120 nt
Organism: Vicugna pacos (alpaca)
Lineage: Eukaryota; Metazoa; Chordata; Mammalia; Artiodactyla; Camelidae
Source: RefSeq, a predicted model, not a curated record
UUGAGAAAGCAAUUAUGUGUUCUAGCUUUUAAGUGCUAUAGAAACACACUCAGGGUGGAAAAAUUGUGAAAGACUUCCCAGAAAAGGAGGGGAUGAAACUAGAAACAAAGCUGAGGCUCUCAGACCACGUCCAGAGGACAGCGACGGAAAACGCAUGUGCAGAAUAAGGUGGCACUAACAGGAGGGUUUGGUGGUGCAGAGACUUAAAACAACAGCAGCAGCAACAACAACAAACAGCUCGCUGUCCAGUGGCUGUGGGGCAGAGCCUCGGGCAGGGCGUCCCGGGGUGAAGACUGUCUGGACAAAGACCAGCUCCUCGGGCUGGGCGGCAGGCAAGAGAUGGCUCCAGAGAGAGGGGCCGACAAGACACACAGGAAGGUGAUGUGAACUGUCCACGUGGUUUGGAACCCUGGCACACACAAAUGCCUGUUACCUUCAUGGAGGAAACAAAACGCGGCUGGGUGCAAACCCCGUCACCACCUUUCCCCUGAAAGCUGGCUCGCCUUCAGCACCUGAUGUCAUCCAUGGCCACCAUCUCUCCCACAGUUCUCAUCUCUUCCAUUUUCCCUUCUGAGUUCCCAGAGCAUUUCUCAGAUGUGUUUUCCACAUCACUGCUCCAGUGCACCUCGGAGUGAAUCCUCCCUUUUACCGUCUCCAGUUUGUAUCUUAAUUCUGCUGCUGCAUGUUGUUUACCUCUGCUGUCCAUCCUUUCUGCUCCCUGUUCCUCUCAGCCCGUUUGUUCCUCAUGCUUUCGUGCUUCAGCUCCACAGAAGCCUUGUCUUCUUGCGUCAGCAAAGGAUACCAGAGCGGGGAGGGUACAGAUCAGUGGGAGAGCCCAUGCUCAGAUGCACGAGGUCCUGGGUUCAAGUCCCAGAACCUCCACUGACAAUAAAUAAAUGAAUCUAAUUACUUCCCCAAAACAAAAAGAUUUUUUAAAAAAAUAACUGUAUAAAAAUAACUAUAUAAAAAAACAAAGGAUACCAGAAAAGUUUUUAAAUUCCCUAUAAUUCUUUAAAUAAUUUGCAGAAUUGUUCUUCAAGUCUGCAUAAUGCUAUUCCCUUCCCUUGUUCUCAAAGUUUUAUUAAGCCCCGUGUUGUUACAUGACCUCUCACUUGACGAUGAGACUUGGCACACCUAGGCCUGGAAUCUGACAAUGAGCAGAACACGCGGGCUGCCCAGGGCCCCGUGCUGUCAGUGUGUGUGUCCGUGACCCCCCCGCUCCAGCUGCCAGCUGCGCAGCCGACGAGCCCAGCCCCUUGUGUAGUUCCGGUGUCUGACAGGUCUCCAUCUGGUCCUAAACUGAGAUAAGAUCCAACUGCGAGGCUUAUUGAGAUGCAGAAAUGAUAGAAUAUUAAAAAAAAAACAAAAGCAAAAAACCACUACAGUCCCCAGUGUUAUUAUUUGAGAUGGUUUUGAUUAUGAGUAACAGAAAAUCCACCUCUAGUUGGAAUUGACAGAAAUAAAGUUUAUGGGCUCAAAAAACUAGAAAGUUCUGUACUGUGCUUCAAAAUUUAAAAAAAAACACUUUCAUUAUGGGAAAUUUCAAAUCUACACAAAGUGAACAGAAUGGUCCAGUGACCUCCUAUGGACUCGUCACCAGCUCCAGCAAUUUUAGAUUCUGCCUUUCUUGUAUCACGAUGCCUUCACCCUCUCCUUACCCCUACUUGACUGCUGUUUUUGUAAUGGAAGUUCUCGAGUAACAUCUGCAUAAAUGGAAAUGCACAAAUCUUAACUGUAACAUUUUAACAAAUGGCCACAUCUGUAUAACCCACAUUCAGUUCAGAUACAGGACACUUCCAUUUCCCCAGUUCACCAAUAGCUCCCCACCUCCAGCCUGAGGCCACCUCUGCUCCAGUUUGUUUUCCACCAGAAAUCGGUUCUGCCUCUUCAACAAUUUUAUGUACAAGAGCUCAUUCAGCGCAUGCUUUCUGACGUCUGGUCUCUCACGCGGCGCUGCGUCUGACACUCAUCCGCUUGUUGCAUGUAUCAGCGGUUCUCUCCUUCGUACUGGUGAGCAGCACCCUGCUGUAUGCACAUAAACCACAGCUGCUUGUUCUCCUGGUGAUGGAUACGUGGAUUACUUGUUUUGUACACUGUGAAUAAAGAUGCUACGAAUGCUC